AGUGAACGCUGGCGGUAGGCCUAACACAUGCAAGUCGAACGGCAGCACAGUAAGAGCUUGCUCUUACGGGUGGCGAGUGGCGGACAAGUGAGGAAUACAUCGGAGUCUACUUUUUCGUGGGGGAUAACGUAGGGAAACUUACGCUAAUACCGCAUACGACCUACGGGUGAAAGCAGGGGAUCUUCGGACCUUGCGCGAUUGAAUGAGCCGAUGUCGGAUUAGCUAGUUGGCGGGGUAAAGGCCCACCAAGGCGACGAUCCGUAGCUGGUCUGAGAGGAUGAUCAGCCACACUGGAACUGAGACACGGUCCAGACUCCUACGGGAGGCAGCAGUGGGGAAUAUUGGACAAUGGGCGAAAGCCUGAUCCAGCCAUACCGCGUGGGUGAAGAAGGCCUUCGGGUUGUAAAGCCCUUUUGUUGGGAAAGAAAAGCAGCAGGUUAAUACCCCGCUGUUCUGACGGUACCCAAAGAAUAAGCACCGGCUAACUUCGUG
RNAcentral lists this ribosomal RNA (492 nucleotides) under uncultured bacterium. RNAcentral describes it as "partial 16S ribosomal RNA". It matches the Rfam family "Bacterial small subunit ribosomal RNA", at positions 29 to 507 of the family's 1533-position model. The record is from RNAcentral.